GAAAUGUUACCCGAACAUGCCUUAAGAUUGAUGACUCAGUUCACCAUAAACUCACAACAGGUGACAAAGUCACAUUGUGCAAGAACCUACUUCUGCAACAAUUUGGUGGAAAGAAGUGUCCAGAUUGGAGAAACCUUAUGUCAACCAUUAUUGGUGAAAGUGAAACGGCUCUUUCCAAUGUUUUUUUUUGCAGCAAGUGAUUUAAAUGAUGCUGUUUAUGAUUCUCUGCUGAAUAUCAUGGAGAUGUAUGGGAAAAUGGAAUUGA
Molecule: long non-coding RNA, 265 nt
Organism: Dendronephthya gigantea
Lineage: Eukaryota; Metazoa; Cnidaria; Anthozoa; Malacalcyonacea; Nephtheidae
Exons: 3
Source: RefSeq, a predicted model, not a curated record